Molecule: long non-coding RNA, 2559 nt
Organism: Ctenopharyngodon idella (grass carp)
Lineage: Eukaryota; Metazoa; Chordata; Actinopteri; Cypriniformes; Xenocyprididae
Exons: 5
Source: RefSeq, a predicted model, not a curated record
UUCUAUAAACUACAAACCGACAUGUUCAACGUUUAAUACCAAACAGUCUGAUGAUAAAAUAGACCUUUAAAGUGUAAUUUUAAACGCAGAACGCAAAAUACUGACAUAGCCUAUUUUCUGACAAAGUUAAGAAUCAUCUUUCACUUGUCUGGAGACACGAGCACGCAUGAGUCCACAUGGGCUCUUUUUAUGGAGUGAUCCUCAGUGGCGCUUGGAGAAAGCCGGCGUUUCCUUUGGGUCCAGGACAAAAGCAGAUAGACAUCUGGGAUCCCGAGGCGGCGUGAGGCUGAUUGCUGUGAAAGCGGAGGUCAGGCCGCGUGGAAUGGGUUUAGCCUCACAGGUAGAGUAUCUGAGGAUCAGGGAUAGAGGAAGCCGCGCGUGCACUGGAAUCAAAGGAUCAGUGUACGGACACGAUAAAAUCAGAAGAUGUAAUGGCUGUAAAAAGGGGAUCAGAGGGGAGUGUGUGUGUGUGUGUGUGUGGAGGCCACAUGUAAACAGGCCAGUGGCUCAUGCAGUGGCGUUAACCAGCUGUGCAGCCGCUCACAGUAGGAGAUGAAUUUGCAGAGGAUGUUUUGCUUUGAUAUGCAGGAGACGCUGCACUGAUCUUUGCAUCACUGCAGUCGCACACGCCGUUAUAGAGCUGCGUUUCUAAUGGCAGCGUUUUACCUCGACACACACCGGACACUCACAUCAGCCUCCCGCCGGCAAAACACAAUACACUUUUAAAACGUGUUUAUUUACGUGUUUUCUUAUCAUUUUUUGUUCUCUUAUUCUGAUUUAAAGUCACUACGACAUCAAAAUGGACAAUUCUUUUUUUUUUUGUCAUUCUAAAUGAUUUAUAGGUGCACAUCAUUCACUCUAAAAAUGCUGGGUUGUUUUUUAACCCAAAUGCUGGGUAAUUUUAUUGGGUUAUUUUUAAUAUUUUUACCCAAAUGCUGGGUCACUCUGAAAAUGCUGUUUGUUGUUGUUGUUUUUAACCCAAAUGCUGGGUUUAGCCUGCUGGGUAAUUUUAUUGGGUUAUUCUUAUUAUUUUUACCCAUGUGCUGGGUCAUUCUGAAAAUGCUGGAUUUUUUUUUUUUUUUAACCCAAAUGCUGGGUUUAGCCUGCUGGGUAAUUUUAUUGGGUUAUUCUUAUUAUUUUUACCCAUGUGCUGGGUCAUUCUGAAAAUGCUGGGUUAUUUUUUUUUAACCCAAAUGCUGGGUAAUUUUAUUGGGUUAUUCUUAUUAUUUUUACCCAUGUGCUGGGUCAUUCUGAAAAUGCUGGAUUUUUUUUUUAACCCAAAUGCUGGGUUCAGCCUGCUGGGUAAUUUUAUUGGGUUAUUUUUAUUAUUUUUACCCAUGUGCUGGAUCACUCUGAAAAUGCUAGGUUAUUUUUUUUUUAACCCAAAUGCUGGGUUCAGCCUGCUGGGUAAUUUUAUUGGGUUAUUUGUAUUAUUUUUACCCAUGCGCUGGGUCACUCUGAAAAUGCUGGGUUAUUUUUUUUUAACCCAAAUGCUGGGUUUAGCCUGCUGGGUAAUUUUAUUGGGUUAUUUGUAUUAUUUUUACCCAUGCGCUGGGUCACUCUGAAAAUGCUAGGUUAUUUUUUUUUAACCCAAAUGCUGGGUUUAGCCUGCUGGGUAAUUUUAUUGGGUUAUUUGUAUUAUUUUUACCCAUGCGCUGGGUCACUCUGAAAAUGCUGGGUUAUUUUUAUUUAACCCAAAUGCUGGGUUCAGCCUGCUGGGUCAUUUUAUUGGGUUAUUUGUAUUAUUUUUACCCAUGCGCUGGGUCACUCUGAAAAUGCUGGGUUAUUUUUAUUUAACCCAAAUGCUGGGUUCAGCCUGCUGGGUAAUUUUAUUGGGUUAUUUUUAUUAUUUUUACCCAUGCAAUGGGUCACUCUGAAAAUGCUGGGUUAUUUAUUUUUUUUAACCCAAAUGCUGGGUUCAGCCUGCUGGGUAAUUUGGGUUAUUUUUAAUAUUUUUACCCAGCUGCUGGGUCAUUUUUAAUGUCAAUGAACCCCCUCACCCUACCCAGCGCUGGGUAAAUGUAACCCAAUGUUGGGUAGUCUGUGCCAAACCGGUUAAAACUGGAACUUAACGGUCGUUUUGUUUUCUGUUCUGAGAGAAAACUUCCUGAGGGGAAAUUCCUGAAUGAAAUUAAGAUGUAACGUAGCCUACGCCGCAGCUAACGUCUGCUUGGAACGCUAGCCUUCUACAAACGCAGCACACACCGGAUCUACACUCAAAGCGAACGACGCGCCGGCGCCACCAUGGAAGUUUCACGGCCGUCAAACGAAUGCACGACCAGGGCUGAAACACGACGCGACGUCGCUGUCAUUAUGCUAACAAAGUUGCCGUGCUCUCCACUGACUAUAAUAGGAGCGCUGUUGAUCUAGUGCGCUAACGUCGCAGCUGUACGUGGUUGCGCUAUGCAUUUGACGGUUGAAACUUAAAUGCCUGACAGAUGAGAUGGCACAAGAUUCCCAUUGGCUGCUGUUUCUUCUCCUGUCACAUCCUACUAAAUGUUUUGGAGUAUUUUAUGAUUGUAAAAGACUGCUUUGCCAUUGAAUAAAAAAUAUUGUAUA